CAGGGGAUAAGCGGAAGAAAUUCCGUCUAAUACCGCGUAACAACGUUGGGAGGCAUCUCCCGAUGUUUAAAGAUUUAUCGGCUGCGGAUGGCCAUGCGGCGCAUUAGCUAGUCGGCGGGGUAACGGCCCACCGAGGCGACGAUGCGUAGGGGUUCUGAGAGGAAGGUCCCCCACACUGGUACUGAGGCACGGACCAGACUCCUACGGGAGGCAGCAGUGAGGAAUAUUGGUCAAUGGCCGAGAGGCUGAACCAGCCAAGUCGCGUGAGGGAUGACGGCCCUACGGGUUGUAAACCUCUUUUGUCGGGGAGCAAAGGGAGUCACGUGUGACUCAUUGAGAGUACCCGAAGAAAAAGCAUCGGCUAACUCCGUGCCAGCAGCCGCGGUAAUACGGAGGAUGCGAGCGUUAUCCGGAUUUAUUGGGUUUAGAGGGUGCGCAGGCGGAGGUGCAAGUCAGCGGUCAAAUUGCGGGGCUCAACCCCGUACUGCCGUUGAAACUGCAUCCCUUGAGUGCGCGAGAAGUAUGCGGAAUGCGUGGUGUAGCGAUGAAAUGCAUAGAUAUCACGCAGAACUCCGAUUGCGAAGGCAGCAUACCGGCGCGCAACUGACGCUCAUGCACGAAAGCGUGGGUAUCGAACAGGAUUAGAUACCCUGGUAGUCCACGCAGUAAACGAUGAACACUAACUGUUCGGCCAGAAUGAUGGCUGAGUGGUACAG
This 716-nucleotide ribosomal RNA is filed under the name uncultured bacterium. RNAcentral describes it as "bacterial SSU rRNA". It matches the Rfam family "Bacterial small subunit ribosomal RNA", at positions 136 to 851 of the family's 1533-position model. The record is from RNAcentral.